CGACCGCUGGCGGCGUGCUUACCACAUGCACGUCGCACGGCAAGGCCUGCUUUCCCUUGUGGAUUGCGGGUACUCGAGUGGCGAACGGGUGAGUAACACGUGAGUGAUCUGCCCCCAACUUGGGUAUAAGCCUGGGAAACUGGGUCUAAUUCCCGAUAGGACUGCAGGGUGGUGCCUGUGGUGGAAAACGAUUUUCUAGUGGUUGGGGAUGAGCUCGCGGCCUAUCAGCUUGUUGGUGGGGUAAUGGCCUACCAAGGCGGCGACGGGUAGCCGGCCUGAGAGGGUGGACGGCCACAUUGGGACUGAGAUACGGCCCAGACUCCUACGGGAGGCAGCAGUGGGGAAUAUUGCACAAUGGGCGGAAGCCUGAUGCAGCGACGCCGCGUGGGGGAUGACGGCCUUCGGGUUGUAAACUCCUUUCGACCGCGAGGAAGCCACCUGGUUGGAAGGGUGGUGACGGUAGUGGUAGAAGAAGCACCGGCUAACUACGUG
RNAcentral lists this ribosomal RNA (492 nucleotides) under uncultured bacterium. Its description in RNAcentral is "partial 16S ribosomal RNA". It matches the Rfam family "Bacterial small subunit ribosomal RNA", at positions 30 to 507 of the family's 1533-position model. The record is from RNAcentral.